GAUGAACGCUGGCGGCGUGCUUAACACAUGCAAGUCGAACGAUGAAGCCCAGUUUGCUGGGUGAUUAGUGGCGAACGGGUGAGUAACACGUGAGUAACCUGCCCUUAACUCUGGGAUAAGCCUGGGAAACUGGGUCUAAUACCGGAUAGGAGCGCCUACCGCAUGGUGGGUGUUGGAAAGAUUUAUCGGUUUUGGAUGGACUCGCGGCCUAUCAGCUUGUUGGUGAGGUAAUGGCUCACCAAGGCGACGACGGGUAGCCGGCCUGAGAGGGUGACCGGCCACACUGGGACUGAGACACGGCCCAGACUCCUACGGGAGGCAGCAGUGGGGAAUAUUGCACAAUGGGCGAAAGCCUGAUGCAGCGACGCCGCGUGAGGGAUGACGGCCUUCGGGUUGUAAACCUCUUUCAGUAGGGAAGAAGCGAAAGUGACGGUACCUGCAGAAGAAGCACCGGCUAACUACGUG
RNAcentral lists this ribosomal RNA (465 nucleotides) under uncultured bacterium. RNAcentral describes it as "partial 16S ribosomal RNA". It matches the Rfam family "Bacterial small subunit ribosomal RNA", at positions 28 to 507 of the family's 1533-position model. The record is from RNAcentral.